AGUGAACGCUGGCGGUAGGCCUAACACAUGCAAGUCGAACGGCAGCACGGAGGAGCUUGCUCCUUGGGUGGCGAGUGGCGGACGGGUGAGGAAUACAUCGGAAUCUACUCUGUCGUGGGGGAUAACGUAGGGAAACUUACGCUAAUACCGCAUACGACCUACGGGUGAAAGCAGGGGAUCUUCGGACCUUGCGCGAUUGAAUGAGCCGAUGUCGGAUUAGCUAGUUGGCGGGGUAAAGGCCCACCAAGGCGACGAUCCGUAGCUGGUCUGAGAGGAUGAUCAGCCACACUGGAACUGAGAAACGGUCCAGACUCCAACGGGAGGCAGCAGUGGGGAAUAUUGGACAAUGGGCGCAAGCCUGAUCCAGCCAUACCGCGUGGGUGAAGAAGGCCUUCGGGUUGUAAAGCCCUUUUGUUGGGAAAGAAAUCCAGCUGGUUAAUACCCGGUUGGGAUGACGGUACCCAAAGAAUAAGCACCGGCUAACUUCGUGCCAGCCGCCGCCGUAA
Molecule: ribosomal RNA, 506 nt
Filed under: uncultured bacterium
Lineage: Bacteria
Description: partial 16S ribosomal RNA
Rfam family: Bacterial small subunit ribosomal RNA
Source: RNAcentral